AGUGAACGCUGGCGGCGUGCUUAACACAUGCAAGUCGAACGGACUUAAGUAGCUUGCUAUUUAAGUUAGUGGCGCACGGGUGAGUAAUGUAUAGCUAACCUGCCCUUUAGUGGGGACGAACAGUUGGAACGACUGCUAAUACCCACUACUCCUUCUUACUCUAAGGUAAGUUGGGAAGAUUAUCGCUAAGGAUGGGCGUUUAUGGUAUCAGAUAGUUGGUGGGGUAAGUGGCCUACCAAGUCAAUGACGCCUAGCUGGUCUGAGAGGAUGAUCAGCCACACUGGAACUGAGACACGGUCCAGACUCCUACGGGAGGGCAGCAGUGGGGAAGUUUUCCGCAAUGGGCGAAAGCCUGACGGAGCAAUACCGCGUGAGGGAUGACGGCCUGUGGGUUGUAAACCUCUUUUCUCAAGGAAGAAGUUCUGACGGUACUUGAGGAAUAAGCAUCGGCUAACUCUGUG
This 461-nucleotide ribosomal RNA is filed under the name uncultured bacterium. Its description in RNAcentral is "bacterial SSU rRNA". It matches the Rfam family "Bacterial small subunit ribosomal RNA", at positions 29 to 507 of the family's 1533-position model. The record is from RNAcentral.